Molecule: long non-coding RNA, 292 nt
Organism: Zerene cesonia (dogface butterfly)
Lineage: Eukaryota; Metazoa; Arthropoda; Insecta; Lepidoptera; Pieridae
Exons: 2
Source: RefSeq, a predicted model, not a curated record
AUACAUUUAGAAUUUGACAUCCGUCGAUCUUCGGAGUGUAUCUCACUAUCAACAUGUUUAAAUUUGUGUUUUUCGCUGCACUCCUGGCUUUUGCUACUGCUAAGCCCUUGGUGGUGGAGUACUCCGUUGAUCCGGUAGCUUAUAGCACCCCAGUAGCUGUUGACUAUACAGGAUCAGCAUACUACACAUAUCCAAGCUACGCUACCGCUUAUGAUUACUACUCUUACCCAUACAGCUAUUACCUCCGUUGAUAAAGUUGAUGUAUAACUUAUUUAAAUAUAUUUGUUAAGCC